AACGAACGCUGGCGGCAGGCCUAACACAUGCAAGUCGAACGCCGUAGCAAUACGGAGUGGCAGACGGGUGAGUAACACGUGGGAACGUACCCUUCGGUUCGGAAUAACUCAGGGAAACUUGAGCUAAUACCGGAUACGUCCGAGAGGAGAAAGGUUUAUCGCCGAGGGAUCGGCCCGCGUCUGAUUAGCUUGUUGGUGAGGUAACGGCUCACCAAGGCGACGAUCAGUAGCUGGUCUGAGAGGAUGAUCAGCCACAUUGGGACUGAGACACGGCCCAAACUCCUACGGGAGGCAGCAGUGGGGAAUAUUGGACAAUGGGCGCAAGCCUGAUCCAGCCAUGCCGCGUGAGUGAUGAGGGCCCUAGGGUUGUAAAGCUCUUUUACCCGGGAAGAUAAUGACUGUACCGGGAGAAUAAGCCCCGGCUAACUUCGUGCCAGCAGCCGCGGU
RNAcentral lists this ribosomal RNA (447 nucleotides) under uncultured bacterium. Its description in RNAcentral is "bacterial SSU rRNA". It matches the Rfam family "Bacterial small subunit ribosomal RNA", at positions 29 to 521 of the family's 1533-position model. The record is from RNAcentral.